GUCGAAGCAACCCCUAUCUGAAAAUUCGCGGUGGUGGAAGACUUGGAGGGGGAUGCAUGGAGUCCAACAGCGAAGCCCAACGCGCGCUGAUCGGUUAGUACGCGUGCAACGGUCCGAGGGAGGGAACCGGAGGGAUACGGAGGAGGCCGACAUACGGUAGAAGGGAGGCUCUCUACCGUCGACGAACGCUACCCUCUGCCCUUUCUCUUCGACUACGCUACGCCUCCUACCCUUUGCUCGUAGUGGCGCUGCUGUUGCAUCGAUCAGCCGUGCGCCGCCACCUCCGACACUCCCGAAAUGUUCGUCGCACUAAACCGGAAUUACUUUGUCGAAGGAUCGUCGAUCGAUCUCCGCUCUUCGACGAACCUUCUUCAACCUCUGACAGACAUCCCCUAACUUCAACACCUGCUUUUUAAAAGCAACUCUCCAAGAGGGUGAAGUACAGGGUGACCUUGAAACUGGUGGAGAAAGAGAGGAAUUUGGAAGGGUCGCGCGAACCUCAUCCCGAAAAGGAGAGAAACAGUCUUUACGCAGCUAUACUCUCUUCGUACGGCCAUCCUCCUCCAGCGAAGUUCUCGAGGAUCGAUAACCUUGAAGACGACGUAGAAUCCUCUCGACUCCCUUGACAGAUUACGGGCAGAUGCGAGGCGGAUUCGAUGCCGGAUGGAG
This 669-nucleotide unclassified non-coding RNA is filed under the name Bombus terrestris (buff-tailed bumblebee). RNAcentral describes it as "misc RNA ENSBTSG00005024908.1". Lineage: Eukaryota; Metazoa; Arthropoda; Insecta; Hymenoptera; Apidae. The record is from RNAcentral.